Molecule: ribosomal RNA, 497 nt
Filed under: uncultured bacterium
Lineage: Bacteria
Description: partial 16S ribosomal RNA
Rfam family: Bacterial small subunit ribosomal RNA
Source: RNAcentral
GAUGAACGCUGGCGGCGUGCCUAAUACAUGCAAGUCGAGCGAACAGACGAGGAGCUUGCUCCUCUGACGUUAGCGGCGGACGGGUGAGUAACACGUGGAUCACCUACCUAUAAGACUGGGAUAACUUCGGGAAACCGGAGCUAAUACCGGAUAAUAUAUUGAACCGCAUGGUUCAAUAGUGAAAGACGGUUUUGCUGUCUCUAAUAGAUGGAUCCGCGCCGCAUUAGCUAGUUGGUAAGGUAACGGCUUACCAAGGCGACGAUGCGUAGCCGACCUGAGAGGGUGAUCGGCCACACUGGAACUGAGACACGGUCCAGACUCCUACGGGAGGCAGCAGUAGGGAAUCUUCCGCAAUGGGCGAAAGCCUGACGGAGCAACGCCGCGUGAGUGAUGAAGGUCUUCGGAUCGUAAAACUCUGUUAUUAGGGAAGAACAAAUGUGGAAGUAACUAUGCACGUCUUGACGGUACCUAAUCAGAAAGCCACGGCUAACUACGUG